AGUGAACGCUGGCGGUAGGCCUAACACAUGCAAGUCGAACGGCAGCACAGUAAGAGCUUGCUCUUACGGGUGGCGAGUGGCGGACGGGUGAGGAAUACAUCGGAAUCUACUUUUUCGUGGGGGAUAACGUCGGGAAACUUACGCUAAUACCGCAUACGACCUACGGGUGAAAGCAGGGGAUCUUCGGACCUUGCGCGAUUGAAUGAGCCGAUGUCGGAUUAGCUAGUUGGCGGGGUAAAGGCCCACCAAGGCGACGAUCCGUAGCUGGUCUGAGAGGAUGAUCAGCCACACUGGAACUGAGACACGGUCCAGACUCCUACGGGAGGCAGCAGUGGGGAAUAUUGGACGAUGGGCGCAAGCCUGAUCCAGCCAUACCGCGUGGGUGAAGAAGGCCUUCGGGUUGUAAAGCCCUUUUGUUGGGAAAGAAAAGCAGCAGGUUAAUACCCCGCUGUUCUGACGGUACCCAAAGAAUAAGCACCGGCUAACUUCGUG
RNAcentral lists this ribosomal RNA (492 nucleotides) under uncultured bacterium. RNAcentral describes it as "partial 16S ribosomal RNA". It matches the Rfam family "Bacterial small subunit ribosomal RNA", at positions 29 to 507 of the family's 1533-position model. The record is from RNAcentral.